AAAUAGCAGAGCUCACUGUGUCAUUCUGUCCUCUGACUCUCACACAAAAGACCCUGUAGGUGUCCCAUAGAUAUCCCAUAGCUCCUGUGCUGAAUCUGCCAGCAGGGAGACAUAAUAAGGCAGAUGUAUUUUUAUGCCCAUUCAGAACUUCUAUGGGAUACAGAAGUCUUGUGACUAGAGGAGCAGGGAGAACUGGAGGAACAGCUUGCUGGGGACACUUGGCCUUUAUGAAAACAGAAGACAUGAUAGAUGAGGUGGUGAACCUCCUCAUUGUGGAAGAAAUUCUGAAAAUCUAUUAAUUUUACAACUAUGCAAGUUGUACUGCAAAUGGACACAAAUAUCCUUGAUAUCAUGAGGAAGAAGUUGCAGAGUGAUUUUCUCUAUAAUUUGUUGACUUUCCUUUGUUUUGGGGCUCACUAGUCUAGAGAUUAAAGCAAAGUAAUACACAGCCAUUAUCUUUCAUGUCAGGGGAAUGGCUAAUACACUUCAACAUGGUGAGUAUAAAAUAUAGAAAUAUCUUUUGGGAGAAGAGCAAAUAACAGAGUUCCCACAUCACAGUCCUUCUCAUCAUUUUUCCCUAGGAAAAAAGCCAGGGAUUGUUCCUAUGGAGAAGUUUGAAGAAACAUUUCUGGCAUCAAACAAUUCACCUCUUAUUAAACAGUAUAUAUUGUCAGUUAUCAAAUUCUAUAAAUAACUCUAGAGCAGCCAAGUGAAAAGAUAGAUAAAACCCAAUAAAAAAGUGCAUGGAAAAUAUCUAUUUCCAAGAGUAGAUUGACCAACCUUCCAACUUCCAUUUAUGGUUUUCAAAUAAAUAAAAAUAGUUUAAAUUAA
This is a long non-coding RNA of Passer domesticus (house sparrow), 831 nucleotides long. RefSeq lists it as uncharacterized. The record is from RefSeq and is a predicted model, not a curated record. The transcript has 2 exons. NCBI's taxonomy places the organism in Eukaryota, Metazoa, Chordata, Aves, Passeriformes, Passeridae.